RNAcentral lists this transfer RNA (80 nucleotides) under Desarmillaria tabescens. RNAcentral's name for it is "Armillaria tabescens (ringless honey mushroom) tRNA". It matches the Rfam family "tRNA". From Rfam's summary of the family: Transfer RNA (tRNA) molecules are approximately 80 nucleotides in length. Their secondary structure includes four short double-helical elements and three loops (D, anti-codon, and T loops). Lineage: Eukaryota; Fungi; Basidiomycota; Agaricomycetes; Agaricales; Physalacriaceae. The record is from Rfam by way of RNAcentral.
UCGGAUAUGGUGUAACGGCUAACAUUGCCGCCUCUCAUUGUUCUGCGCGGUAACUCGGGGUUCGAUUCCCCGUAUCCGAA